RNAcentral lists this long non-coding RNA (963 nucleotides) under Fukomys damarensis (Damara mole-rat). RNAcentral's name for it is "lncRNA (ENSFDAG00000022108.1)". Lineage: Eukaryota; Metazoa; Chordata; Mammalia; Rodentia; Bathyergidae. The record is from RNAcentral.
GGCAAAAACCAUUGUUAGACAGCUUCCUAGGCAGAAGGAAUAGCAUGUGCUAAGGCCUUAAGGCAACAUUCUAGGUGCUGUAAAAACCAGAGGGCAAAAACCAGGGUGCAGAGGAACAUCGAGAAACAAACAGGAGGGGAGGAACUUCUUAUAACCACUAUCCUAACGCUCAACAUUGUUUGAGAAUGAUUCAUUUGCAAAAGCACAGUCCCCACCAAACAAAUUCCUUUAUUUCUUAACAAAUGUGUUUGCUCCAUAACCUAAUACAGUGCUUGGCAACAGUCUAUCUUCAGGUAAAAAUCUGAGGCAUGAAGAAAUGAGCGCUUGCUCCUUCAGGAGCUCACUGAGCAAGGACCUUCACCUCUCGGUGCCAGUCGUAACAAAAUGAUCUCUGCCGGAGUUCAAAACCUUCCAAGUCUGACUAUUCCAAUCCUUACAGGCAAAACACUCACUUUCAUGCCAAUUUAUACAUAGAGUAUUUCAAAACCGAAGCUGCUAUUACCUGCGGAUGAACCCUUAAGUCCUGAAAAUUAAAUUAAGAUUCUAAGUAGGCAAGGACGUCUCUCCGUCCUCACUGUCUCGUACUGCCGCCAACUCAUCACCAACGGGGCUGCGUUGCAACUCCCACAGUCACAAUCGCAGCCAGGGGAAAAGCGGCGAAGUUCCGCCUGCCCGUCCUCAUUCUGCAGUCCCUGAACUUAUUCGGUGACUGGAGAUCGAGAGCAGGGAGCUGCCACCUAUGCCGUCCUUUUCUUCUUCCUGCCUAGCUGGUCCAGGACAAUCUCAACAUCUUCAGGAACAGAAGACUCGAGGGACGAAAUUCCUCUUCAUUCUAGCAGCAGCCAGGCUGAGAAAGCAACACUACCGCCUGGACCGCCUUGGGCCCCUCCCGGGCAAUUUCAUUCAGGAACCCAGCGGAAAGGACCACCAGCCUCUUUCUCCUAAACAGAGAGCCGGCAGGCG